This 901-nucleotide ribosomal RNA is filed under the name uncultured bacterium. RNAcentral describes it as "bacterial SSU rRNA". It matches the Rfam family "Bacterial small subunit ribosomal RNA", at positions 8 to 864 of the family's 1533-position model. The record is from RNAcentral.
AGAGUUUGAUCCUGGCUCAGGAUGAACGCCGGCGGUGUGCCUAAUACAUGCAAGUCGUACGCACUGGCCCAACUGAUUGAUGGUGCUUGCACCUGAUUGACGAUGGAUCACCAGUGAGUGGCGGACGGGUGAGUAACACGUAGGUAACCUGCCUCGGAGCGGGGGAUAACAUUUGGAAACAGAUGCUAAUACCGCAUAACAACAAAGGCCACAUGGCUUUUGUUUGAAAGAUGGCUUUGGCUAUCACUCUGGGAUGGACCUGCGGUGCAUUAGCUAGUUGGUAAGGUAACGGCUUACCAAGGCAGUGAUGCAUAGCCGAGUUGAGAGACUGAUCGGCCACAAUGGAACUGAGACACGGUCCAUACUCCUACGGGAGGCAGCAGUAGGGAAUCUUCCACAAUGGGCGCAAGCCUGAUGGAGCAACACCGCGUGAGUGAAGAAGGGUUUCGGCUCGUAAAGCUCUGUUGUUGGAGAAGAACGUGCGUGAGAGUAACUGUUCACGCAGUGACGGUAUCCAACCAGAAAGUCACGGCUAACUACGUGCCAGCAGCCGCGGUAAUACGUAGGUGGCAAGCGUUAUCCGGAUUUAUUGGGCGUAAAGCGAGCGCAGGCGGUUGCUUAGGUCUGAUGUGAAAGCCUUCGGCUUAACCGAAGAAGUGCAUCGGAAACCGGGCGACUUGAGUGCAGAAGAGGACAGUGGAACUCCAUGUGUAGCGGUGGAAUGCGUAGAUAUAUGGAAGAACACCAGUGGCGAAGGCGGCUGUCUGGUCUGCAACUGACGCUGAGGCUCGAAAGCAUGGGUAGCGAACAGGAUUAGAUACCCUGGUAGUCCAUGCCGUAAACGAUGAGUGCUAGGUGUUGGAGGGUUCCCGCCCUUCAGUGCCGGAGCUAACGCAUUAAG